GAUGAACGCUGGCGGCGUGCUUAACACAUGCAAGUCGAACGAAGUUUUUUGAGAGCUUGCUCUUAAAAAACUUAAGUGGCGGACGGGUGAGUAACGCGUGGGUAACCUGCCUUAUACUGUGGAAUAAUCACUGGAAACGGUGACUAAUACCGCAUGUCGUCUUUUGAGGGCAUCCUCGAAAGAAAAAGGAUUUAUUCGGUAUAAGAUGGACCCGCGUCUGAUUAGCUAGUUGGUGAGAUAACAGCCCACCAAGGCAACGAUCAGUAGCCGACCUGAGAGGGUGAUCGGCCACAUUGGGACUGAGACACGGCCCAAAACUCCUACGGGAGGCAGCAGUGGGGAAUAUUGCAUAAUGGAGGAAACUCUGAUGCAGCAACG
This 378-nucleotide ribosomal RNA is filed under the name uncultured bacterium. Its description in RNAcentral is "bacterial SSU rRNA". It matches the Rfam family "Bacterial small subunit ribosomal RNA", at positions 28 to 396 of the family's 1533-position model. The record is from RNAcentral.